Molecule: long non-coding RNA, 381 nt
Organism: Gallus gallus (chicken)
Lineage: Eukaryota; Metazoa; Chordata; Aves; Galliformes; Phasianidae
Source: Ensembl
CACACGCUCAGGUUGCCCUCUCCCACGAAGGCUUUUCCAGUAAGACACACCCUUUUUGAACUACGUGGGACACAAUGGAGGCUUUUCAGAAGGAGAGGAGGCAACCACAGACCCUGCAGCACUGUGAACUCGGGUACGAAAGGAAGCAUGAAUUUGUGAAUCUUUGUAAUACUCAUUACAGUAGUUGAGUACCCUGCAUCAGCAGCACCCCCAUAUCUUACUUACCAUCACUGCUAGAUGCAACAGAUCACUGUGAUGGUAAUAAAUCACUGAAACAGAAUGUGGUUCCUCUAAUUGCUUUCACUUUUUGUGUUGAAUGGACACCUUUCAUCAGCAAUAGCCUGAGCAAAGAUAUUCCUGCCCUGCAAAAUGAGUCUGCGG